GUGGGGAAUUUUGGACAAUGGGCGCAAGCCUGAUCCAGCAAUGCCGCGUGCAGGAAGAAGGCCUUCGGGUUGUAAACUGCUUUUGUACGGAACGAAACGGUCCGGGUUAAUACCCUGGGCUAAUGACGGUACCGUAAGAAUAAGCACCGGCUAACUACGUGCCAGCAGCCGCGGUAAUACGUAGGGUGCAAGCGUUAAUCGGAAUUACUGGGCGUAAAGCGUGCGCAGGCGGUUUUGUAAGACAGUCGUGAAAUCCCCGGGCUCAACCUGGGAAUUGCGCUUGUGACUGCAAGGCUGGAGUGCGGCAGAGGGGGAUGGAAUUCCGCGUGUAGCAGUGAAAUGCGUAGAUAUGCGGAGGAACACCGAUGGCGAAGGCAAUCCCCUGGGCCUGCACUGACGCUCAUGCACGAAAGCGUGGGGAGCAAACAGGAUUAGAAACCCCUGUAGUCC
RNAcentral lists this ribosomal RNA (450 nucleotides) under uncultured bacterium. Its description in RNAcentral is "partial 16S ribosomal RNA". It matches the Rfam family "Bacterial small subunit ribosomal RNA", at positions 354 to 796 of the family's 1533-position model. The record is from RNAcentral.